Molecule: long non-coding RNA, 1268 nt
Organism: Gorilla gorilla gorilla (western lowland gorilla)
Lineage: Eukaryota; Metazoa; Chordata; Mammalia; Primates; Hominidae
Exons: 2
Source: RefSeq, a predicted model, not a curated record
GCGCCUCCGCCGCCUCCGAGGGUCGUCGGGAGCGGGCGGGGGCGGGGCCAAGCGUCCACCCGACCUCGGGCGGCGGGCGGACCGCGGGUCCUGGCCCACGCGCCCUUCUAGGGAGGAGGCAGAGCCGUGUCGGGCGGGACCGUUGUCGGCCGCCGCUGGCCCGGCUUUCCGCUACCGGGACGCGCUCGCGGUCGAGUCCCUAGAAGUGACCUCAAAAAAUCAAAACGGAACUACUUUCUCUGUCCCUCCCCACCUUUUCAUAGGAGUUCACGAAACUCCAGAGACUUCCCCCGUAGGUCGACAUCCUUCCUGUGUUUAAGGUGAUGAUUGUAAAACAGUUAAGAAGCCGUUGGAUGUUUUGCUCCCUUGUGGCACACAAUUGGAGACGUGCAACUGUGCCACAUUAAAAACAGAACACUGCUGGCCUCAAAACACACCUGCCACCUCUGACAGCAUCCACUUCCCUCCCCCUUAUGACUGCUGCCUUUUUCAAAAUGAGAGUGUUUGGAAUGAUUUCCUGGCAGUAUCCAUAGUGGUUGCUGAGCCUUCUAAAGAAUGCUUUGAUGCCUUGCUGUGUAUCAGUCUUUCGAUUUCUUUUUGAGAAUGGGAGCCUUAGUGCAAUUAAGAGACGACCUCAAAAAAAAAAAAAAAAAAAAAGUUGGACAAAUGAAGAGUGUAUUUUCUCAUCACUGGUAUUAUUUUUCUAGAAGAAAUUACAGCAGAGAUUAGAAAUCUAAUACAAAAUGUCGUAAUCAUGUUCUCUUCUUUGAGGUAGACUAAAAGAGCAUCAUUAUAUUUGAAGAAACCAAGAUUGAAUGUUCAUUGGCUUGGCAGUUUUUAACACAGUGCAGUUUGGAACAUGUCCCCGUUCUUGUGGAUCACAUUUAUGGAAACUCUUAAAGGACUUUAAUGCCCCUCCCUAAUCCUUUUUCUACUGUAAAACCUCAUUAAUAUAUCCUCAAUGUAUAAUUUAUUAGUAAUAAGGAUUUGGGUCAUACGAGAUUUAAAACUUUGAGAUAAGUUGGAUAUUCGGAAUAAUGUAAUGAUUUGUAAUAUAGGUCUUAAACAUUUAAAUAGCUUAACUCAUUAAGACUAGUCAUCAGCUGUAUUUGAGUACAUAUUCCCCACAGUAAAGCUAUUUUCAAUAAUAUUACUAUGCAUCUUUGUAAGUGCCUUAUAAUUUGGGCUUUUAAAAAUUGCCUGCGCUUUCUUCCCUUAAUUUAGCCCAUUUACUCCCAAAAUAAAGAGGCUGUGUUUCUUUUCUUUUU